RNAcentral lists this long non-coding RNA (215 nucleotides) under Ananas comosus (pineapple). RNAcentral's name for it is "long non-coding RNA (ACOM_LNC016271)". Lineage: Eukaryota; Viridiplantae; Streptophyta; Magnoliopsida; Poales; Bromeliaceae. The record is from RNAcentral.
UACAUGCAGAAAUAAUACAUCUAAAUAUUUAUGCAUAAUUAAUUAUAAUACUACUACAUUACUUCUCUACGUUAACGAUAUAUCAAUAUUUAGUCAACUAAAUUAAAUUUUAGAACUUACUUAUAAUAAUUCUAAAAAUUCGAGCUAAAAAUUAAAUAGUACUAAAGUUCGAGGACCAAAUUAUCAACCAUCUUAUAGUUUGAGGACCAAACCUG